RNAcentral lists this small RNA (676 nucleotides) under Pongo abelii (Sumatran orangutan). RNAcentral describes it as "retained intron". The record is from RNAcentral. Lineage: Eukaryota; Metazoa; Chordata; Mammalia; Primates; Hominidae.
CAGACCACUCAGAGAUGAAGGUGGGCUGGGUGAGCAGGGUGGAGGGGCUCUGGCUCCGGGCCCAACCCUUAGGAGUCGAGGCCCUGAGUGUCCGUUCCCGGCCCCCACCCCUCCCUCAGAAGCUGUUCGAGGAGCAGCUGAAAAAGUAUGACCAGCUGAAGGUGUACCUGGAGCAGAACCUGGCCGCCCAGGACCGUGUCCUCCGUGCACUGACAGAGGCCAACGUGCAGUACGCGGCCGUGCGGCGGGUACUCAGCGACCUGGACCAAAAGUCAGUGCCCAGUCCUCUGCUCUUUCCCGGAGCCGCCUGGAGCCCACCCCCAUGGUUCACCUGGAGCUGGCCCUUCUGCCCACCAGGUGGAACUCCACGCUGCAGACCCUGGUGGCCUCGUAUGAAGCCUAUGAGGACCUGAUGAAGAAGUCGCAGGAGGGCAGGGACUUCUACGCAGAUCUGGAGAGCAAGGUGGCUGCUCUGCUGGAGCGCACGCAGUCCACCUGCCAGGCCCGCGAGGCUGCCCGCCAGCAGCUCCUGGACAGGGAGCUGAAGAAGAAGCCGCCGCCACGGCCCACAGCCCCAAAGCCACUGCUGCCCCGCAGGGAGGAGAGUGAGGCAGUGGAAGCAGGAGACCCCCCUGAGGAGCUGCGCAGCUUCCCCCCUGACAUGGUGGCUGGCCCA